UGAAGGAUGUCUUAAGCAUUAAUUACACUCU
This 31-nucleotide non-coding RNA is filed under the name Mus musculus (house mouse). The record is from RNAcentral. Lineage: Eukaryota; Metazoa; Chordata; Mammalia; Rodentia; Muridae.